GACAUAGGUGGCAAACGUUAUCCGGAAUUAUUGGGCGUAAAGGGUGCGUAGGUGGUUUAAUAAGUUGCUGGUGGCAAAUCGGGGCCCAACCCCGUGGAAGUCGGUAAUACUAUUAGACUAGAGGAUCGGAGAGGUUAACGGAAUUCUAUGUGUAGCGGUAAAAUGCGUAAAUAUAUAGAGGAACACCAAACGGCGAAGGCAGUUAACUAUUCGAUUUCUGACAUUGAGGCACGAAAGCGUGGGGAGCAAGACGG
RNAcentral lists this ribosomal RNA (254 nucleotides) under uncultured bacterium. Its description in RNAcentral is "partial 16S ribosomal RNA". It matches the Rfam family "Bacterial small subunit ribosomal RNA", at positions 524 to 776 of the family's 1533-position model. The record is from RNAcentral.